RNA transcript from Ostrinia furnacalis (Asian corn borer), 6767 nucleotides. It is a transcript of the gene named Smad/Smad4 homolog Medea, with no coding region annotated. The transcript has 14 exons. The record is from RefSeq and is a predicted model, not a curated record. NCBI's taxonomy places the organism in Eukaryota, Metazoa, Arthropoda, Insecta, Lepidoptera, Crambidae.
UGCUCUAUAUUAUUUAUGCGUCGUCAAAAUGUCGCUUUCUGUUUUGGUAUCGUCUUGCACUAAAGGAAAUCAAUUUUAAUAAGUUAUCCAUGAUUUUUCUACUAAUAAGUGUUAUUUGUACUAAAACAAACUGGAAUUGAUAUCACUACAUACAACGGUACUCUAGUAGCCAUGAAUACCGCGGCGCCAACGUCUGCAGAUGCCUGUCUGAGCAUCGUGCACUCCUUGAUGUGCCACCGCCAAGGCGGCGAGAGUGAGGGGUUCUCUAAACGUGCCAUAGAAUCACUUGUCAAGAAGCUGAAAGAGAAGCGAGAUGAACUUGAUUCUUUGAUCACGGCUAUAACUACAAACGGAGCACAUCCCAGCAAAUGUGUAACUAUACAGCGGACUUUAGAUGGUCGUUUGCAGGUAGCUGGACGCAAAGGUUUCCCACAUGUGAUCUAUGCACGCAUCUGGCGUUGGCCUGAUCUUCACAAAAACGAACUGAAGCAUGUGAAAUUUUGUCAGUUUGCAUUUGACCUCAAAUGUGACUCAGUUUGUGUCAAUCCAUACCAUUAUGAAAGGGUUGUCUCACCAGGCAUUGAUCUUUCCGGUUUAACACUUCAGUCUGGUCCGAGUAGAUUGGUAAAAGAUGAAUACACCGCAGGCAUCAGUGGCAACGGAAUGGACAUGGAUACCGGGGAACUGGUGACCAUCCAGCACCAUGCCACCAGUCCUCGCCACCACCACUCCACUAUACCACAUCAUCAUCAGCAGUUCCAGACCACAAAUAUUAUUAUUAACCAGGGACAAACGCCAGAUGGCGUCCCGAAUAUAUUUUCGCCGACGCACGGCCCGCGGACGCCCAUCCGGCCCCCCGGGGCCCCGCCUCAGAUGGGGCAAAUGGGGCACUCGCCCGGUGCUCCCCAGAUGAUUUCACAUCCAAACGCUGGUCAGAUGCCCACACCACAGAUGGUCCAAGGCAAUCAGAUGGGGCCAGGGACUCCUCAAAUGGGGCCGGGUACGCCUCAGAUGGGGCCGGGUACGCCUCAAAUGGGGCCGGGUACUCCUCAAAUGGGGACAAACGUGCCUCAAAUGGCUUCGCCGCGAAUGGCGUCGGCGCCAACUCAGAUGUCGCCGGGGACGCCCCAAAUGCCGAGCAUAAGUCAAGCGAUGUCGAUGCCUAGUCCCCAGCAGAUGGCCAUGGCCCAGCAGCGGGUCAUAGCCCCGAAAAUAGAGCCACCAGACACGAUGGAUGCUCGAGCGAUGUGGCUGCCAAAAAGAAUGAACCAUUACCUUUCAGCGGCGCUGCCGGUUAGUAUGUCUCCCGGGGGCACGACCCCGAUCAUAGACGGAACCACCACAACCUUCUUCACGACUGAACAGACCACUACAGAUACUCAACUGACACAGACAAUACCAGUGGGAACCGUAGCAGUGUCCCCAGUGGCAGCGGAGACGUCGCAGCAGAACGGCUUCGCCGCGUCGAGCAGCCCGGCGCCGCAGCCCAGCCCGCUGCCGCACCGCACGCCGCAGACGCAGCAGCAGCAGCAGCAGCAGCAGCAACAGCAGCAGCAGCAGCAGCAACAGCAGCAGCAGCAAGGCACGUGGACGGGCAACAACACGCUGACGUACACGCAGAGUCUGGCGCCGCCGCCCGCCGCGCCGCCCGCGCCGAUUGACGCGCCGCCGCACCACCACCACUAUUACAAUGGCAACCCUGGCGGUUUGCUCUCCAGCCAGCCAGCGCCCGAAUACUGGUGCUCCGUCGCCUACUUCGAACUGGAUACGCAAGUCGGGGAGACCUUCAAAGUACCCUCCAGCAGGCCUAAUGUCACUGUGGAUGGCUACGUGGAUCCUUCAGGCGGUAACAGGUUCUGUCUAGGCGCGCUCAGCAAUGUCCACAGAACAGAACAGAGUGAGCGGGCGAGACUGCACAUCGGCAAAGGCGUUCAGCUAGACUUACGCGGCGAGGGCGAUGUGUGGCUUCGGUGCCUUUCAGACCACUCAGUCUUCGUGCAGUCCUACUAUCUAGACCGCGAAGCAGGCCGCGCGCCAGGCGACGCUGUGCAUAAGAUAUACCCUUCUGCUUGCAUUAAGGUGUUCGACCUUCGUCAGUGCCACCGGCAGAUGCAGACGCAAGCUGCGACCGCGCAGGCCGCCGCCGCCGCACAGGCCGCCGCUGUCGCCGGGCACAUACAGCCGCAGCACCCCUCCAUGAACAAGUGUCUCACAGCAGCGGCCGGUAUCGGCGUGGAUGAUCUCCGGCGGCUGUGCAUAGUGCGGCUGUCCUUCGUCAAGGGCUGGGGGCCCGACUACCCGCGCACGUCCAUCAAGGAGACGCCCUGCUGGGUGGAAGUGCACCUGCACAGGUCAGUGACACCAGCAGCAGGUCUGACGCACAGCAGCGGCGGGUAUCGGCGCUGUGCAUAGUGCGGCUGUCCUUCGUCAAGGGCUGGGGGCCAUCCAUCAAGGAGACGCCCUGCUGGGUGGAAGUGCACCUCCACAGGUCAGUGACACCAGCAGCAGGUGUAACGCACAGCAGCGGCGGGUAUCGGCGCUGUGCGUAGUGCGGCUGUCCUUCGUCAAGGGCUGGGGGCCCGACUACCCGCGCACGUCCAUCAAGGAGACGCCCUGCUGGGUGGAAGUGCACCUGCACAGAGCUCUCCAGCUGCUGGAUGAGGUGCUCCACACAAUGCCAAUCGACGGGCCACGCAACAACAUCGAGUAGGAGUUGAUCGGCUUCUUUUGAGGCCUUGAGCGGACAGACGGAAAUGUGCGUUGUUUCACAGUGAUUGUGCAAGUGAUGUGAUUGACAAUGAUGCGAACAGUGAUUAGCAGUGAGAUCGGGUUUCAGUGAACAAUGUUUUACAGAACAAACGAAGUACAAAUCUGUGGGACUUAUUUUGUGAACAGAUUAGUGUUACUUCGAACGAUGUUGUCCGUUACAUUUGUUAUUUGUUUCUGAAAUUAAUAGAAACUCGAACUUGCUUGGAAGUGGGAAUUUUUAAGGGAGUCUUGUAAAUUCAGUCAUUAUUAUAUUAGCUUUCCUAUUUUCAACAUUGAUAUUAUUUUAUAAAUUGAUAUUAUUUAUUUAAAAUAUCUGAAACAUGUUGAAAAUAUAGUAGAUUUCUUCAUUGAUUCUUUAUAAAUUUUUGAGGAUGAUUUAAAAAAUCCCCUUUUUCAAAAAUGUGCCUAAACGGUUGCCAUAUGAGUAGCAUUUAUUAAAUUAUGUUUUAUCAAGUUAUUAUUUACAUUCAAAAUUAUGAAUUGGCUUUGUCUUCCAAAAUUUUAUUUCGUCUUCCUUUAUAAAAUUGUAUUGUGAUUUCUCAGUUGAGUUUUGGAUUGUGUGUGUUGGAUUGGACAUUGAAACAAAACGCACAUUGAAAAUAAUGAUGUGAUCGCUCGUUUAAAAAAGGUGAACUUUAAUUUAUGUCUUGUAUAUUUGUUCUAAGUAGAUUCACUAAGUUAAAUAUAACAUAUUAUAUGACAGUAUUUCGACAGAACAAACUAAAGAACAUAUAAAGAGAUCUCACUAUAAUAUUUUUCACAAAAUGUUUAAUGUGUAAGAUAUAGUGUAUUGUAAAUAGGAGCACACGAUUGCAGAUUGCUCAAAGGUCAGUCCAUCGUUGUUCUUAGUAAUGUUAAGGUGCAUGCUCACUGAUUGCACUCGUGUGUAAUAAGCGUUCGACAUUUUAUAUUCAUACUAGCGGCCCGCCUCGGCUUCGCACGGUUGGAAUGGAUUUUCCCGGCUUUUCUCUUCUUUAUUAUACAUGUUUUAUACUUAUAAACCUUAAUCUUGAGUCACUCUAUCUAUUAAAAUCAUCAAUAUCCGUUGCGUAGUUCUAAAGAUCUAACAGACAGACGGCGGAAAGCGACUUAUGUAUGUAGUGAUUAUUAUUGUAAGCCGAGCAUAUUUGCCUGUGAGUGCGCACUGUAAUAAAGUCAAUUGCUCACGAAUGCGUUUUAGGCUCGCUUUUUGAGUUAAAUGUUGAUUGCUUACAAAUGAGUGCGCGCAGUGAUCGCGCAGCAUACGAAUUUUAGUGACAGCGAUACCAAAAUAAGGCAUUUUGUACUAAAGUAGUUUAAAAAACAAGACAUAAUUAUGGUUCAACUUGAAAGAAGCCAAAUGGAUAAGCUUUGUAGCUUAAUUAAUUAGCGUUACGUCGUAAUGUAGCGUAAGUAAUUUAUGUGUUGUGAGCGGCGGGCGCGCGGGGGUGAGGCUGUAAGUUUGUUAGCUUGAUGUGCCUGAUUGGUGAAAUUGCAUGGAUUCAUAAGUCUCUUAACCAACAGUCAUUAAUUUUGGACCUUAAGAUAAGGAAAUAAGGUCCAAAAUAUGGUGGAAACUAUAUUCCCACUUAAAGGGUUAAAUUGUAUAUUAAAAUUGAUACUGAAUGAGUGGGACAGCCCCCUGAACUGAUGAAUUGACGUCCAAUAGUUGACAGGCAGCUUUAUGUAGAACAGUAGUUUUUUUAUUGAUCACAAAACUAAUUAAUCUGGAAACGGGAUGAAUUGCAACUAAGUCAAUGGUCAUAAUGUUGCAAUGUCAAAUAAAUGACUAAAGUGUAAAGUCCAUGCAAUUUGCUAAAUUGUUUAAGAUGAUCUGUGAUGUGCUAACAAAAUAUGUUUAUAAAAUAAGAUGAGCGCGCCCGCAUUCAGUCCAGGCCAUUCACCCACGGGUGGGCUCUGGAAACGUCUAGGUUAAGGAUAAAAUGACAUAUUUUGUGUACGAAAAUCGUAAACGGUUUUAAUGUAAUUCUUACGUAGUUCUAAGAUAGUGUUUGUGGAUUUAUGAAUUGGAAUUUCCCAACAACUUUUACAUUGCUUACGUUUGUUUAAAGUAAAGAUGUAAGUGUGUGAUACUUAAAGUUGCAAGAGAAAUUCGUGUUCUACGUAAUUGAGAUUUUUUUGUAGUUCGCUAAGUUUUGCUUUAAUUAUUAUUACUUGGCAGAUUAUGAUACUAUUAUCUUGCGUUAAAACAUUUUAUAUUACUGUUAGUGAAAGUUAGCGUUUUCGAUUUUUUAUUAUUAAUUAUUUUUAUUGUAAAAUACGUAACAACUAUUGUCUAUGACAAAAAAUGUGAACUAAUCGGUUUCGAGCGAGAGGGUUUAUAAAUGUGUGUAUUAUUAUUGUUUUUGUAAACUUGAUUUAUUUCGAUUUUAUCUGUGUGAGUUUUGCGUUGUGGACGAACGAACAUCACAUGUUUUUAUUUUUGUUAUCGAUAUGUAAUUUAGUUUAUGCAUCUGAAUUUUACAAUUUACAAUUAUUUGAUUGUUACCAAUGACCAUUAAACAUUCGGACUGUGCGAGUUUUGUAAAUAGUACAAUUUAUUGAGAAUAUUUUUUAAUAUAACAAAAAUCUUGUCGGUCGGUCGCCGGCUUAUUUAAUACAGGCGUUCGCGACUCGGUACUUAGAAAUUAUAUUCGUAAAUUCUCUUUAGUAAGCUUUCACAAAAUUUGUGUAUCAAAAAUACCUCUUUUAUAGUGAUCAAAAGGAUUCAAAGGGUUUUUAGAUGAUAUUAAUAAUAUGUGGUAAGUUUUUUAAUGAUGUUGAAGUUUUGAAUGAUAUUGUCAAAUUCUACAUGCCACAGUUAUCCUACAGAGCUGUUUGGAAUCUCUCACGAGUUUAUGGUAACCAUGUCUUACAGUUGUUUGGAGAUAUACCGAAGUUAUCCAAAGUUGAUGUGGGUUGUUGUUCAUGUGAACGUGUUGUCGCUUUUGUACAUACGGGCUGUCGCGGCAGUGCGACAGAGAUAGCUGAAUCUGACUGGGUGUGGGUGACUAGUGGCUACGUUUAUACAACAAAAGUGAAAAGAGAAACAGUUGGCAGAUUUUCUUCACAAAGUUUUGGAAAAUGUACCUAAUAAAUGCAUACUCAUUUUUAUUGUCUAAACGUAGCUUUUAUUCUUCUAGCAAACGCAGUUUGGCCAUCAAAAUGUUAAUUACAUGAUGCAUUAUUAUAAAAAUAAUGUUGCACCCAUUAUGAGAAUGUACUGUACCUUUUAAUAAAUACAUAACUCACAUUUAGUUAAUUUUAGAAUUUGUUCAGAUUGUCGUUUUAUAAAUAGUUGUUAGUACCCGAGAGUCAAUGUUACGAAUUAUUGUGAACAUCUCUAACGAAGUGCAAAUUAUACAAAUUACAGACUAUUACAAAUAUGCAAGCUAUGGUUCAAAACAUGUUCCUCAUAUUAACUGCACGAAUAAAAGAAUCUAUUCAAUGGAAUUGCAAAAAAAAAUGUUUGGUAUGAGUAAUGUUUGUAGACAAUGUAGACUGCGGUCAUUAAAAUGGUCUUGUUAUGCAAAUUUUACAUACGAAAAAAUCACGCAAAUAUACUGUUCUUGUAUAUUUUUUAAUGUAACUAGCGGCCUGCCCCGGAUUCGCACGGUUGCAAUGGAAUUUCCCGGCUAUUCUCUUCUAUAAUAUGCAUGUUUAAUACCUAUGAAUAAACCUACCUCUUGACUCACUCUAUUUAAAAAAAACGUAUCAAAAUCCGUUGCGUAUUUCUAAAGAAGCAUACAUAGGGACAGACAGCGGAAAGCGACUUUGUUUUAUAUUAUCUCUGUAGGUACAUAAAAAAUGUAGUUGACGCGUUGUAUACGCAAUUUUGAUUUAAAUAAUUUGUACCAUUUUAUGCACCACAGUCUAUUUUUGUAAUAAGUACAUAAACACUUGUAUCCGUUUAAAAGUUGUACUUUAGGAGUUGAUGUGUUUGUCUGGUUGUUUCAAUACAAUAUUUUCAUCAUGGGGGCGCCGUGUGCAUUUGCCCUAAGAUUAUAGUUAAGAUUGAA